Molecule: unclassified non-coding RNA, 404 nt
Filed under: soil metagenome
Description: partial contains 5.8S ribosomal RNA, internal transcribed spacer 2, and large subunit ribosomal RNA
Rfam family: 5.8S ribosomal RNA (bases 1-121)
Source: RNAcentral
GAUGAAGAACGUAGCGAAAUGCGAUAAGUAAUGUGAAUUGCAGAAUUCAGUGAAUCAUCGAAUCUUUGAACGCACCUUGCGCCCUUUGGCCAUUCCGAAGGGCAUGCCUGUUUGAGUAUCAUGAACACCUCAACUCCUCAUGGUCUUCUAUGAUGAGCUUGGACUUUGGGGGCUUGCUGGCCCAUUUGGUCAGCUCCUCUCAAAUGAAUCAGCCUACCAGUGUUUGGUGGCACCACAGGUGUGAUAACAAUCUACGCUUGAGGUUUUCCACCAGGCAACCUUCAGUAAUUGGGGUUCACUGGGGCUCACAAAUGUCUUUCUUCAGUGAGGACAGCUCUUUGAAUGUUUGAUCUCAAAUCAGGUAGGACUACCCGCUGAACUUAAGCAUAUCAAUAAGCGGAGGA